RNAcentral lists this ribosomal RNA (902 nucleotides) under uncultured bacterium. RNAcentral describes it as "bacterial SSU rRNA". It matches the Rfam family "Bacterial small subunit ribosomal RNA", at positions 9 to 915 of the family's 1533-position model. The record is from RNAcentral.
GAGUUUGAUCCUGGCUCAGGAUGAACGCUAGCGGCAGGCCUAACACAUGCAAGUCGAACGGUAACAGGAAAUAGCUUGCUAUUUUGCUGACGAGUGGCGCACGGGUGCGUAACGCGUAUACAAUCUGCCUUUAAGCGGGGAAUAGCCCAUGGAAACGUGGAUUAAUACCCCAUAGUCUAUAAACUUCACCUGGAGAUUAUAGUAAACAUUUAUGGCUUAAAGAUGAGUAUGCGUCCUAUUAGUUAGUUGGUAAGGUAACGGCUUACCAAGACGGCGAUAGGUAGGGGUCCUGAGAGGGAGAUCCCCCACACUGGUACUGAGACACGGACCAGACUCCUACGGGAGGCAGCAGUGAGGAAUAUUGGACAAUGGAGGCAACUCUGAUCCAGCCAUGCCGCGUGCAGGAGACGGCCCUAUGGGUUGUAAACUGCUUUUAUACGGGAAGAACCACAUCUACGUGUAGGUGCUUGACGGUACCGUAUGAAUAAGGACCGGCUAACUCCGUGCCAGCAGCCGCGGUAAUACGGAGGGUCCAAGCGUUAUCCGGAAUCAUUGGGUUUAAAGGGUCCGUAGGCGGGAUAAUAAGUCAGUGGUGAAAGUCUGCAGCUCAACUGUAGAAUUGCCAUUGAUACUGUUGUUCUUGAAUUAUUAUGAAGUGGUUGGAAUGAGUAGUGUAGCGGUGAAAUGCAUAGAUAUUACUCAGAACACCUAUGCGAAGGCAGAUCACUAAUAAUAUAUUGACGCUGAGGGACGAAAGCGUAGGUAGCGAACAGGAUUAGAUACCCUGGUAGUCUACGCCGUAAACGAUGGUUACUAGCUGUUCGGCUCGAUUGAGAGCUGAGUGNNNAGCGAANUGAUAGUANCCACUGGGAGUACGUUCGCAGAAUGAACUCAAGAUGACG